AUUGAACGCUGGCGGCAGGCCUAACACAUGCAAGUCGAACGGUAACAGGAAGAAGCUUGCUUCUUUGCUGACGAGUGGCGGGCGGGUGAGUAAUGUCUGGGCAACUGCCUGAUGGAGGGGGAUAACUACUGGAAACGGUAGCUACUACCGCAUAACGUCGCAAGACCAAAGAGGGGGACCUUCGGGCCUCUUGCCAUCGGAUGUGCCCAGAUGGGAUUAGCUAGUAGGUGGGGUAACGGCUCACCUAGGCGACGAUCCCUAGCUGGUCUGAGAGGAUGACCAGCCACACUGGAACUGAGACACGGUCCAGACUCCUACGGGAGGCAGCAGUGGGGAAUAUUGCACAAUGGGCGCAAGCCUGAUGCAGCCAUGCCGCGUGUAUGAAGAAGGCCUUCGGGUUGUAAAGUACUUUCAGCGGGGAGGAAGGGAGUAAAGUUAAUACCUUUGCUCAUUGACGUUACCCGCAGAAGAAGCACCGGCUAACUCCGUG
Molecule: ribosomal RNA, 490 nt
Filed under: uncultured bacterium
Lineage: Bacteria
Description: partial 16S ribosomal RNA
Rfam family: Bacterial small subunit ribosomal RNA
Source: RNAcentral